RNAcentral lists this ribosomal RNA (253 nucleotides) under uncultured bacterium. RNAcentral's name for it is "partial 16S ribosomal RNA". It matches the Rfam family "Bacterial small subunit ribosomal RNA", at positions 524 to 776 of the family's 1533-position model. The record is from RNAcentral.
UACGUAGGGCGCAAGCGUUGUCCGGAAUUAUUGGGCGUAAAGAGCUCGUAGGCGGCUUGUCACGUCGGGUGUGAAAGCCCGGGGCUUAACCCCGGGUCUGCAUUCGAUACGGGCUAGCUAGAGUGUGGUAGGGGAGAUCGGAAUUCCUGGUGUAGCGGUGAAAUGCGCAGAUAUCAGGAGGAACACCGGUGGCGAAGGCGGAUCUCUGGGCCAUUACUGACGCUGAGGGGCGAAAGCGUGGGGAGCGAACAGG